AAAGCAGUAUUGGAUUAUGUCAACUUUGGAAGUUGGAGGCUAGAUAACUCUACUUUU
This 57-nucleotide transfer RNA is filed under the name Cernuella virgata. RNAcentral's name for it is "tRNA-Pro". Lineage: Eukaryota; Metazoa; Mollusca; Gastropoda; Stylommatophora; Geomitridae. The record is from RNAcentral.